Molecule: ribosomal RNA, 268 nt
Filed under: uncultured prokaryote
Description: partial 16S ribosomal RNA
Rfam family: Bacterial small subunit ribosomal RNA
Source: RNAcentral
UACGUAGGUGGCAAGCGUUAUCCGGAUUUACUGGGUGUAAAGGGUGUGUAGGCGGGAUGGCAAGUCAGAUGUGAAAACUAUGGGCUCAACUCAUAGCCUGCAUUUGAAACUGUCGUUCUUGAGGGUCGGAGAGGUAACUGGAAUUCCAUGUGUAGCGGUGAAAUGCGUAGAUAUAUGGAGGAACACCAGUGGCGAAGGCGGGUUACUGGACGAUACCUGACGCUGAGACACGAAAGUGUGGGGAGCAAACAGGAUUAGAUACCCCGUA